Molecule: non-coding RNA, 617 nt
Organism: Nothobranchius furzeri (turquoise killifish)
Lineage: Eukaryota; Metazoa; Chordata; Actinopteri; Cyprinodontiformes; Nothobranchiidae
Source: RefSeq, a predicted model, not a curated record
CAUCGAUAGAGGGAGAGGCGGACUUGACUCCUUCUAAUAAGAGCUAGGAACUUGGAACCAACGCGAUUUGUGUGGAGACGACAGAGUGAACCAAUCCUCUGUAGGAGGGAACCGUUGGAGCGCGUUGGCUGGGUUUUUUUUUCCUUGGGUUUGAUCCCGACUCCUAUGAUCACUCACUUGGAACGAGAACUGGAUUUCUUCCUGACGAGGGAGAUGGCGAGCCUUAACCACUGAACGAACCAGGACAUCUCAAGUAACUGAAGAGCAGACUGCUCUCUUCUGUGAACAAUCUCAACGGUGCGGUAGGAAAAAAUCGCACCACCGGACUCUGACUUUCACCCCAAGCGUGGGGAUUUGACUUGACGCCGGCUGACUUGUGACUCAUAUGAUCAAAUCUCAUACCGAGCAUUUUACUAUUGUCGAUUGUUUUCAUCUGUUUUUGUGUGUUAUCUUUAUGUGUUAUAUUUCCCACUAUUAUUAAAAUUUAGUAUAUAAACCGUUUCAUGCUAUACCCGUGACUCCAGUCAUUCUUAAACAACCUCCAAUUCUCCCCGAACCUAAUUAUUGGCCCAUUUGUUUAUUUUUUCUUUUAAUUAUCUUAUUGUAUCCUGUAAUCC